This is a non-coding RNA of Python bivittatus (Burmese python), 1893 nucleotides long. The record is from RefSeq and is a predicted model, not a curated record. Lineage: Eukaryota; Metazoa; Chordata; Lepidosauria; Squamata; Pythonidae.
UUUCAGGAGUCUUCACCAAUACCAGGGUUCAAAAGCAUCAAUGAAUGCAUGACAGAAAGAUACAGCUUGGCUAUUGGCACUUGUAGGGAUGAGAUGCUCAACGCUUGGUGCAUAUUCUACAUGAAUAGCAGCACUUUUCCUUGUUAAAUGGCCACAGAAAAAGUAAGAAGUCUUGCUGUGCUGCUGUUGACCUGAAUAAGGAAUAAAUUGGAUUUCUGGACAUGUGUGAUAUGCAGCAAUUUAAAAUCAUUGGAGUUCUUCAUAUUGUUAAGUGUGCUUCAGUUUGAAAGAGUGAGGCUUUCCUACAAAUGCCAGGAGGUCAUGGCACCAUGCUAUUCCUAUUUUUCCCACAGCAAGAACUCUAUGAGGUAGCUGGACUGAGAGAGAAGGACCCAACUUAGCCAGUGAGCUUUUAUGGCUGAAAGUGGACUUGAACCUGGAUCUUCCCAAUUGUAGUCCAAGACUUUAACCCCUAUGCCACACUGGUUCUCCCUGAGAUGUGUAAAAGCAUGAUGCCUCAGUCUUCCUGGCCAGAAGGGACUCUCGGAGACUGAUUUUGCUUAGUCUGGAUAGGUACAUACUGUAAAACAGAAGCAUAACCAUAUUGGCAGGCUUUGCAUUCAAGCCUGAUCUUUGAUGGGGUGGUAACUUUCUACCUAGUUGUAGACGUCUUCAUUAAACAAGAUGCUAAAGUAGGAAGAGGGAGAGUUCUAAGCAAAACGUGUAAUGCCUCACCUGAGAAAGCAUCUAACAGAAGUGAGAUUUGCCUAGGAGAAUUCAGAUCCAUUGUUUCUGUUACUCGCAACACUACAGGGCUGUAAGUCCACCACUCAACUGAAAUGGGUGGUAUAUCAGACAGCUUAUUAAAGAGACAAGCUUGCUGCUUUUUCAAAGUGGGAUGACAGAACAAGUCAUGAUCUAGUGUGGAAGGAAAAUGAGAUCCCUAGUGAAAUCUACAUUGUGACUGACUCUGAAGACUCUGAAGACUCUGAGACCAGUUGUUGCUUAAUGGCCCUUAUUGGCCUGUGCAAUAGAAACUGAUAUGAUCUUAAAAAACAGAUGGUUCUUAAAAAUGGUGUCUGUUGGACCCAAAGUAUGAUGACUUAGUGAAAUGUCACAUAAAAAGGUACAUGAAGAUUUAAUUAGAAGAUAUUGUUUUAUGGAGGAUGUGAUCAUUGGCCACUUAAAAUUUCUUUGGCCCUUCGAGCAAGAUAUGAUAAGUUGACAUGAAACAUUUCCAUUUAAAGGUCUACAAUAAAAGUGAUGUGUUGUUCUGUCAUUUCCUUUCAGCAUCUUGAGUGUUUGUAAGCAUCCCAUGCUUUGUAUGUGGGGUUCAGAGCUAUAGCUCGUCAUGCUGUCUUUUGGUCCCCAUCAUCAUGGAUCAUAAUGUUUCUUUGUUAUUUGGCUUUCUUUUUUUUUUAAUGUAGCUGUUUUGGGGCCAAACUGAAAGUUGUUGCAUUUAAUAUGGCAGGUAUUUCAAAUCUUUUGCUCCAUGCUACAGUCUUAGUGAAAAUCCUUACUUUCAGAAGCAGGUAUUGGUAAUGGAAUGAAACCUCCUUUUGGUGCUUCUGGGAAUGUGUGGCUUUAAAAGCGGUGAUGGUGGGGAAUUAUGUUUAACUGAUCAGGAAAUUAUAUUCCCAAAUAGGAAGCAUCUCUGAUUAGAUUCAGUGGGAUUUAUUCCUAGCACUUGACCGAACAGCCAUGAAAGCCUUGGAAAAGAUAUUCAAAUGCUGUGAGGUGUCUAUACGGACAAAGAUCAGAACUGAGCAAGCAAUGGUAUUCCCUGUGACAUCCUAUGGAAGCGAAAGUUGGACUUUAAAGAAGCAGGAUAGGAAGAGCAUUGAUGCUUCUGAACUUUGGUGUUAGAGAAGGUUACUGAGAACACCAUAGACA